AAGUCGUAACAAGGUAUCCGUUGGUGAACCAGCGGAUGGAUCAUUACCUGAACCUUUAAGGUGAAAGCCUUUUGGUUUGGAUGGCUAGAAGUAGUCGUCCUCUGGUGUGGCUGGUGAAUCAGCCUGCCAGAACUUGUAGUGUGCAGUUUUGCACGCUUGAUGAGUGAAGGGAUUGCUGGAAGGGACUACAUACCUCGUAGUCCAGGCGAGAGCCUCUCAAUCCCCGAACCUGCCAUUGACUUGACUGAAGCGAUUGUCUUAAAAAUGACAACUGCUGGCCGUGGAUCACUUGGCUGACG
Molecule: unclassified non-coding RNA, 299 nt
Filed under: fungal sp.
Lineage: Eukaryota; Fungi
Description: partial internal transcribed spacer region
Rfam family: Eukaryotic small subunit ribosomal RNA (bases 1-46)
Source: RNAcentral